RNAcentral lists this long non-coding RNA (263 nucleotides) under Oryza brachyantha (malo sina). RNAcentral's name for it is "long non-coding RNA (OBRA_LNC000352)". The record is from RNAcentral. Lineage: Eukaryota; Viridiplantae; Streptophyta; Magnoliopsida; Poales; Poaceae.
UGAACCAAAUUAAUAACCUGCAGUGCAGCUCGAAUGCUUCGAUCGCCGUACUAGUAUAAGAAUCCCCCAUUGCUCGAUCGAUUCUUUCAUCAUAUCCAUCUAGAUCAUAUCGAGCUUUUGUUUCUUUGGAAGCAAGAUUUGAUCUUGGCAAGAAAGGUUUGGUCUUGGCCGGGUUUUCUUGCAAGAAAGAUUUGAGCUUGGGUUGGAUGAUGAUGAUGGGAUACUUCCGGGCGCCGAGGAGGAAGGCGGGGAGGGAGGAGGGC